CCUACGGGUGGCAGCAGUGAGGAAUAUUGGUCAAUGGGCGCGAGCCUGAACCAGCCAAGUCGCGUGAGGGAAGACGGCCCUACGGGUUGUAAACCUCUUUUGCCGGGGAGCAACGGGCGCCACGUGUGGCGCCACUGAGAGUACCCGGAGAAAAAGCAUCGGCUAACUCCGUGCCAGCAGCCGCGGUAAUACGGGGGAUGCGAGCGUUAUCGGGAUUUAUUGGGGUUAGAGGGUGCGUAGGCGGGGCGUUAAGUCAGUGUGCAAAGUGAGGGGCUCAACCCCUGCCCGCCAUUGAAACUGGCGCUCUUGAGUGGAAGAGAAGUAUGCGGAAUGCGUGGUGUAGCGGUGAAAUGCAUAGAUAUCACGCAGAACCCCGAUUGCGAAGGCAGCAUGCCGGCUUCCGACUGACGCUGAAGCACGAAAGCGUGGGGAUCGAACAGGAUUAGAUACCCUAGUAGUC
This 460-nucleotide ribosomal RNA is filed under the name uncultured bacterium. RNAcentral describes it as "partial 16S ribosomal RNA". It matches the Rfam family "Bacterial small subunit ribosomal RNA", at positions 338 to 795 of the family's 1533-position model. The record is from RNAcentral.